AGCAGCCGCGGUAAUUCCAGCUCCAAUAGCGUAUAUUAAAGUUGUUGCAGUUAAAAAACUCGUAGUUGAAUUUCGGGGUUAGUAGGUUGGUUAUGCCACUGGUAUGUACUGGUCUCACUGAUUCCUCCUUCCUGAUGAGCCGUAAUGCCAUUAAUUUGGUGUUGCGAGGAAUCUGGACUGUUACUUUGAAAAAAUUAGAGUGUUUAAAGCAAGCUAACGCUUGAAUACAUUAGCAUGGAAUAAUGAAAUAGGACGUUCGAUCCUAUUUUGUUGGUUUCUAGGAUUGACGUAAUGAUUAAUAGGGAUAGUUGGGGGCAUUAGUAUUCAAUUGUCAGAGGUGAAAUUCUUGGAUUUAUUGAAGACUAACUACUGCGAAAGCAUUUGCCAAGGAUGUUUUCAUUAAUCAAGAACGAAAGUUAGGGGAUCGAAGACGAUCAGAUACCGUCGUAGUCUUAACCAUAAACUAUGCCGACUAGGGAUCGGAUGAUGUUAAUUUUUAAUGACUCAUUCGGCGCCUUAA
Molecule: ribosomal RNA, 520 nt
Filed under: uncultured Glomus
Lineage: Eukaryota; Fungi; Glomeromycota; Glomeromycetes; Glomerales; Glomeraceae
Description: SSU rRNA
Rfam family: Eukaryotic small subunit ribosomal RNA
Source: RNAcentral